AGGAGUCUUGUAAGCUGUAGGAAAAAAAUGGCCUGUAGCCAAUAAGAUGACCAGGCCGGACAACAUUACAGGCUGGCAUAAUGUAAUAUUGUAUAUCUGCCAACAGGUCUACAGAAUGAUCUGUACUGCGUGCUUGGGUGGAAUAGGGAAGGAUCUUACCGUGAAGUCUUCCUCAUCCAGCAGAUGUGACAUAUGAGGACUACGGAGGCAAGGAAGAAGAAUCCACCCACCAGUAAUGUCCCCAAAAGUGCAUAUUGGAAGUUAUAGGUACCUGAAUACCCUUUUAACCACUUCACUGCUCUAGACAACAAUGAGUAUUGGAAAAAAUCACCCCACUGCCCUAGAAAUCUACAUUGGCAUAUUAUAGCAAAGAAGACUUCAAUGUGUGACAAGAACUCUCGGCGCUGUUCGGAACAAGAGGAUCAGGACAACAAUCAUUCAGACCUACCUUUCGACAGGACGGCUGCAGAUGGAACAUGUUUGAUAUGUGCCUCCCAUUGUUGUGUAUGUUACACAACCAACUCGGGCUGAUGGCCUCGGAGACCCCACCGGUAAAGUCAAUGAGAGCUUCAGCAGUGCUGCCUCCAUCCAAGGCCUCAUAAUUCCCAAUGAGUCUAUGGGAGAAGACAACAUGGAAGAAUAGAAACAAGUAUAU
Long non-coding RNA from Hyla sarda, 655 nucleotides. RefSeq lists it as uncharacterized. The record is from RefSeq and is a predicted model, not a curated record. The transcript has 5 exons. Lineage: Eukaryota; Metazoa; Chordata; Amphibia; Anura; Hylidae.